Molecule: long non-coding RNA, 1037 nt
Filed under: Manihot esculenta (cassava)
Lineage: Eukaryota; Viridiplantae; Streptophyta; Magnoliopsida; Malpighiales; Euphorbiaceae
Description: long non-coding RNA (MESC_LNC012348)
Source: RNAcentral
UUCGGGCAGGUGGACGGGUAAUGAUGCCGAUCUUCCUGGGACUUUAACUCGAAGACUUAUGUUUUUCAUGAGAUCGGCAUAUAAUAUCUGAGCUCGUUCGUAUGUAUCGUAAAUCAUAUCUCAAGACGGAGCUUAGCCGGCCUACGAAGUUGAUUUUCCGAACUAUAAGAAUUCCUCUGAAUCGAAAGCUAAGAUAGUGGGGUAGGCGAUAGUGAUGUAAACGUAGAUGAUGAUGUAUUUGGGCGUGUAAAUCCUUUAGGGAUAGCCUUUUAGUCCGUAGUGUUGGUAUUUGUGACAUGCUGUAAUGUGUUUUUCUUUUAAUGAAAGUUUUGUUUUGCGUUCAUACUCGAACUGUUCUUUCUUUAUCAUAACUGAAGUACUUAGAUUGCUUGCUCCGUAACUUUUCCCAAAGGAUCUGCUGUAUUGCUUUCUCCUUCUUGCUCCUUUAAUCGUUUAGAACUAGAGUUUAUUCGGCCAGCUAAGCUUUUGACUUACUUUUUUCCGAGCUGGACUAGUCGUACUCGUGAGCUCUGUUUUAAUCCUGUGAGCCAAGCUCUUGACCUUCUUAGGUAAUAAGCAGGGCUGGUCUUUAUCGUGCUUUCAUCUGCUUAUGUCUUUGAGCUUUUUAUUUAUCUUUUUCCGAGCUGGAUCAGUCGUAACCCUGAGCUCUGCUUUUAACCUAUGAGCCAAGCUUCCGACCUACGUAGGUAAUGAACAAGGCUGGUCUCUAUCAUCGGGUGAGAGGUCUAAGUGGAGCCUGGUCUUACGGUUUGAGCGAGUUGGAUUUGUUCUAUGCAGAUGGCAUGUGGGCUUUUGGGCCUGUCCGUCAAUUGCUUUCGGGUGAUGGGCUAUUGCCGUGGGCCCAACCCUUAAUAGAGGUGGCGAAGUCCAGCGGCCGUCGGUUAUUGCCCCUUUACCUUCGAUUAUUGCCCCUUUACCUUUGAUUAUUGCCCCUUUACCUUCGCGUCAAUUAUUGUAUAACUGAUGAGGGGGUAAACUUCGAGAGUAAUUAAUGACCGCGCCGCUCCAAGACAAAA